Molecule: ribosomal RNA, 1324 nt
Filed under: metagenome
Description: bacterial LSU rRNA
Rfam family: Bacterial large subunit ribosomal RNA
Source: RNAcentral
AGUGGAUGGGGAGCAACCUAGUUGUGCGUGUGUAAAGGUAGUGCCAAGAAAAGCGAUGAUCAUGUUGAAAAUCAAUUCCCGGUACCCGAAACCGACACAGGUGGGCAAGUAGAGAAUACUAAGGGGCGCGAGGUAACUCUCUCCAAGGAACUCGGCAAAAUGACCCCGUAACUUAGGGAGAAGGGGUGCCACCGAGAGGUGGUCGCAGUGAAGAGGCCCAGGCGACUGUUUAGCAAAAACAUAGGUCUCUGCAAACUCGAAAGAGGAGGUAUAGGGGCUGACGCCUGCCCAGUGCCGGAAGGUUAAAGAAGUUGGUCAGUUUUAGGAUGAAGCUAGCGACUGAAGCCCCGGUGAACGGCGGCCGUAACUAUAACGGUCCUAAGGUAGCGAAAUUCCUUGUCGGGUAAGUUCCGACCCGCACGAAAGGCGUAACGAUCUGGGCGCUGUCUCGGAGAGAGGCUCGGCGAAAUAGGAUUGUCUGUGAAGAUACGGACUACCUGCAUUUGGACAGAAAGACCCUAUGAAGCUUUACUAUAGCUUGGAAUUGUGUUCGGGCUUCCUGUGCGCAGGAUAGGUGGGAGGCGUAGAAGGUAUUCUUGUGGGGAUACUGGAGCCAACGGUGAGAUACCACUCUCAGGAGGCUAGAAUUCUAACUUAAUUAAGGACAGUUUCAGGUGCUAGUUUGACUGGGGCGGUCGCCUCCAAAAAGGUAACGGAGGCGUACAAAGGUUCCCUCAGACUGGUUGGAAAUCAGUCGAAGAGUGCAAAGGCAGAAGGGAGCUUGACUGCGAGAAGUACAGUUCGAGCAGGGUGGAAACACGGUCUUAGUGAUCCGACGGUGCUGUGUGGAAGGGCCGUCGCUCAACGGAUAAAAGUUACUCUAAGGAUAACAGGCUGAUCUCCCCCAAGAGUUCACAUCGACGGGGAGGUUUGGCACCUCGAUGUCGGCUCAUCGCAACCUGGGGCGGAAGUACGUCCCAAGGGUUGGGCUGUUCGCCCAUUAAAGCGGUACGUGAGCUGGGUUCAGAACGUCGUGAGACAGUUCGGUCCAUAUCCGAUGUAGGCGUGAGAAUAUUGAGAGGAGCCUUCCUUAGUACGAGAGGACCGGGAAGGACGCACCGCUGGUGUACCUGUUAUGAUGCCAAUUGUAAACGCAGGGUAGCCAAGUGCGGAGAGGAUAACCGCUGAAAGCAUCUAAGUGGGAAGCCCACCUCAAGAUGAGUAUUCUGGUGUAAGGUCACGGGAAGACGACCCGUAAAUAGGCACGAGGUGGAAGUGCAGAGAUGUAUGAAGCCGAAGUGUACUAAUAGACCGUCGGCUUGAC